This 468-nucleotide ribosomal RNA is filed under the name uncultured bacterium. Its description in RNAcentral is "partial 16S ribosomal RNA". It matches the Rfam family "Bacterial small subunit ribosomal RNA", at positions 28 to 507 of the family's 1533-position model. The record is from RNAcentral.
GACGAACGCUGGCGGCGUGCUUAACACAUGCAAGUCGAACGGAAAGGCCCUGCUUUUGUGGGGUGCUCGAGUGGCGAACGGGUGAGUAACACGUGAGUAACCUGCCCUUGACUUUGGGAUAACUUCAGGAAACUGGGGCUAAUACCGGAUAGGAGCUCCUGCUGCAUGGUGGGGGUUGGAAAGUUUCGGCGGUUGGGGAUGGACUCGCGGCUUAUCAGCUUGUUGGUGGGGUAGUGGCUUACCAAGGCUUUGACGGGUAGCCGGCCUGAGAGGGUGGCCGGCCACAUUGGGGCUGAGAUACGGCCCAGACUCCUACGGGAGGCAGCAGUGGGGAAUAUUGCACAAUGGGCGGAAGCCUGAUGCAGCAACGCCGCGUGCGGGAUGACGGCCUUCGGGUUGUAAACCGCUUUCGCCUGUGACGAAGCGUGAGUGACGGUAAUGGGUAAAGAAGCACCGGCUAACUACGUG